This 404-nucleotide ribosomal RNA is filed under the name Fusobacteriota bacterium. Its description in RNAcentral is "Fusobacteria bacterium partial 16S ribosomal RNA". It matches the Rfam family "Bacterial small subunit ribosomal RNA", at positions 355 to 776 of the family's 1533-position model. Lineage: Bacteria; Fusobacteriati; Fusobacteriota. The record is from RNAcentral.
UGGGGAAUAUUGCACAAUGGAGGGAACUCUGAUGCAGCGACGCCGCGUGAGUGAUGAAGGACUUCGUUUCGUAAAACUCUGUUCUAUGGGAAGAAAAGGACUGUACCAUAGGAGAAAGCUCCGGCUAAAUACGUGCCAGCAGCCGCGGUAAUACGUAUGGAGCGAGCGUUGUCCGGAAUUAUUGGGCGUAAAGGGUGCGCAGGCGGCUUUACAAGUUGGAUGUGAAAUAUUGUGGCUCAACCACAAACGUGCAUCCAAAACUGCAAAGCUUGAGUUAAGGAGAGGUAAGUGGAAUUCCUGGUGUAGCGGUAGAAUGCGUAGAUAUCAGGAGGAAUACCGGUGGCGAAGGCGACUUACUGGACUUAAACUGACGCUCAGGCACGAAAGCGUGGGGAGCAAACAGG